UCGUCAUGCAGUAGAAAUGGGUGAUGUCGUACAUGUGAUUGAUUUAAAUAACCAAAUGAGUCAUCUAAGAGGUACCCGCCAAAUUUAAACCUGAAAACAGAUCCAGUGCAUUGUAGACAUUUCCAUGGAUAAGAGCACUGCAAGUAGAUAAGCCCUGAUGCAUGUUAUUUGAAAUGAGAAAAUAUGUAUCAUAUGUUCUUGCUAUAUCAUAAGAGGUCAACUUGUUACCUGAUAAGCCUUGAUGCAUGUUGUUUUGCAAUGAGAAAAUAUGUAUCAUAUGUUCUUGCUAUAUCAUAAGAGGUCAACUUGUUACCUGAUAAGCCUUGAUGCAUGUUGUUUUGCAAUGAGAAAAUAUGUAUCAUAUUUACUUGGUAUAUCAUAAUAGGUGUCAACUUGUCGCUUGAUAGUACUGAACUGAACAUGAUCAAUUCACCGGAGAAAGUUGAGGUACAUUCCCUUAUAUGCAUUGUAAUUCAAGUGAAAACAUAAAAUAUUCUUCAAUGUUUUCGUUCAUCAAGAAGACUAGGACGCUGCGUAGCAAGUCCUAGUCGUUAGGAACUCUAAUUUAGGGAUCAUUUUGAGUUAUGUCAUGGUGUAUUACUGAUUUUGUUUUCAAUCACAUGAAUAUAUCUUUAGAUAUGAUAAAGAUUUAUGUUAUAGAUUACUAGUUACGACCUUUCUCUUCUUAUUCAUGGCAAAAUCAUAACCCUACAUCAAACUAUGAUUUUCACAGCUAUAUGAUUCACUCGAUGGAAGUAGAAUUCCAAAGAAUAGUUUGUAUAAGAUAAAAAUAAAUUUAGUCCUUUGCUCAUUUUUCUUCCUUUUCUCUAACUAGGCAGAGAUUUAAAAGAUGCUUAAAGAGACAUCGGCCUGAAGCGCUCGCUUUUCAUUAUCGACUCUUCCUUGACUAGAUAGAGAGUUAAAAAUUACAGUCUACAAACAAGUAUUUGCUCAUCUCCAUUACUGAUGAGACAAGCAAACACUUGUUUGUAGUCUGUUAUUAUGCUGAAAUGUUUAGAGCUGAACUUUUAUACAAUGGUUCAACAUCUCAUAGCCUACAAGAGAACUUAAGACUACAGUCAAGAUGAUUAGAAGGAAAAACUAGAAUAGUUGAAUAAAGAAGUGGUGGCUUCUCUAUGGGGUGCUAUGGUGUAGUAUAUUUCGAAAGCAAGAAAGUGAAAAUAGUUCAAAGGUUCUACGUAAAAACUUAAUUUUUUUUGUAAACACAAUGGAUUUGCAUACACAACAUAUUUCUAAAAAAAAGAGUUAUUCAAAAAAAUUGAAAACAUAAUAGAUUUGCAAAGAAAAAAAGCAUAUUUGAUAAAAUCUGACUUGUUUCAACUUAUUGGGUGUACUGCUUAACUUGAUUAGUAGAUGCAAGAGCUGAAGUGUUAAUCCACAUGUUCUCUUUCUCAAGAUCCAUCGAGUUCCUUUGUGUUAUUCUCAUCCUUUGACUAGAAGACAAAGCAGGCUUUUUUAGGUACUUGUCCUCGACCUUUCCCUAUAGAAACUAGAGAAAACAAAUUCUAUUACCAAUACUUUAGCAUAAUGGUUUAUGGAGCGAGUAGCUGAAAGAAAUAACAAGGGCUCGCAAAGAAGAUUAGAUUGUGAAACAGAAAAAAAUAGAGCGUAAUACAAAAUAAAUUGCAAGGGCUCGCUUUUAACUAUGGACUUUCUUCAAGGCAGAAAAUCGAUUUGUUUAGAAUACACAAUCCCUUCUUAAGCAAAGCUCUCCUUAUAUCGUAUAUUCAUACUUUCUUAAAUCACAACUAAAAAAUAAAGGAGAUUGUUCUAAAGUAAAUGUUAAUUUAACUGGACGAGAAAACAACAGUUAUCAUUUUCAUCUAACAUAACAUAGCAAUAGAGUACAUGUAGAUAAUUAUAGAUAACAUCUUGACUUUUGUUCAAAAUGUAAAUUUAACUCAUAGAAGUUACCAGAGGAUAACAAACAAUUUUGUAUCUUUUGUUGACUAUGUGUUAGAUUAUUCUGUCUCUUCCAAACAUAACGUGACAUUGGGUGUGAGUUUUAGUGGAAAAAAUGUACAUUUUUAUAAGUUAUUCCUUUGUAUAAAACUCUACUAAGCCAGCUUAUAUAGAUGGUCUCAAGAACUAAAAGAAUAGUAGACUUAACCGGACUAGUCAGCAAAAUCUCAGCAUCUAAGACAUAAAACUAGUAUGUUGUUCACGAAAUAAUUAUUUUUCCAAAUUCAAUAUACACUCUGCAUAAAAUAUGAAUCUUCAAACACAUAAUACACUUCAGAGAUUCAAUCAACUAUUAGAGAUCUCAACCCAAUAAUAUUUUCAUUGAUUGUACAUAAGAAAGAGACCAGAUUAUGAAACUUAUAAACUAUCUAAUGAUAGAAACGAGGAAGAAGAAGAGGAUUAACUUGAAUAGAAUAAGAAAAUAAAUGUCAUCAAUACAAUUAUGGAAGAAACAGAGCAACUACAGAAGAAGAUACCUACUCUGAGUUUAGGGUAGCGCUGCAAUGGAAAUCCGCAAAGCUAAAUGUCUUGAUUUCAGAUAUUUUCUCAAUUAGAUUAGCUGUUUUCAACAUACAAAUACGCAGUAAUAAAAGAAAGAAAAGGAACCAAGAAGACACAUGCGUUGAGA
RNAcentral lists this long non-coding RNA (2611 nucleotides) under Solanum tuberosum (potato). Its description in RNAcentral is "long non-coding RNA (STUB_LNC007872)". Lineage: Eukaryota; Viridiplantae; Streptophyta; Magnoliopsida; Solanales; Solanaceae. The record is from RNAcentral.